Molecule: long non-coding RNA, 6902 nt
Filed under: Lactuca sativa (garden lettuce)
Lineage: Eukaryota; Viridiplantae; Streptophyta; Magnoliopsida; Asterales; Asteraceae
Description: long non-coding RNA (LSAT_LNC000850)
Source: RNAcentral
GGGACUUGGGACAUGAGUUUAAUCCCCAUGAGUAAACUAAUAGAAGAGAUUUGGUCUAAAACGCCCAUUCCCCAUGAGUUUACGGCCGUAAACUCAUGGUGGGUGUGGUUUAUGGUGCUAAAUGACUUCAUACACUUAGGGAAUAAUUUCUAGACUUGGUUUAAGGACUUGGAAUGACUUCAAAGCAUCAAAUAGAACUUCUUAUGGGAGUUUAUGGCCUAGCAUGGCUUCCUGGCCGUAAACUCCUAUUUUUCCAAGAAAAUGAUGUUAAAUGGUUCCAAAACAAAUCACAUGUGAUUAAUAGAAUUAUUCCAAGGCCUAACUUGAGUUUGCAAGGGACAUUUGAGGGUUUUAUGGAGUUUACGGCCCAUGAGACCCCUCUCAUGGCCGUAAACUCUUCUAUAGGGUGCUACAAGGUGUUUCAAGGUCUAAAACUUGCAUAGAAGGGCUUCUAAAAUUCAUCUAAAGGCUUUAGGGGUGUUUAGUUAGCAUUCUAACACCAUGAAUCAUGGAGUUUACGGCCCAAGAACAAGCCUUGGCCGUAAACUCUUAGAAAUCCCACAAAUAAUGUGUUUAAGGCCCUUAAACUAUUUUUGGUUGGUCCUUUGAUUUAUUCCAAGGCUUUUGGUGGUGUUGGAUGGCUUUCUAACACCUUAGAAUUGAAUUUAUGCCAAGUUUUGAGGAGUUUACGGCCCAAGCACAUGCCUUGGCCGUAAACUCACAUAAGUCCCCCAAAAAUCAUGUUUCAAGUGUCCAAAUGCUAAAACCAAUGUUCUAUAAUUCAUAUCUAAGCCAUACUAGUGAUUUGGAAGGGUUUAAGGGCAUGAAAAACCCCAUUUACAUGAGUUUACGGCCCAAGCUUAUGCCUUGGCCGUAAACUCCUUCAAAUGACUCAAAAUCAAAGUUUUAAAUGUUCUAAGUCCAUAUCUUGAAGUCCCUUAGCCAUAUCUAAAGUCCAAAUGAGUUUAGGAAGGAGUUUAAGGGCUUAAAACCCUUCAAAAUGGUGUUUACGGCCUAGGCAGCCUCCUGGGCCGUAAACUCACAUAUGUUGUCCUAUUUCAUGAUUAAAUGUCAAAUUUGGAAGCCAAAUAUGCUAUAGAUUAAGGCUAGGAAGGUACCUUAAGGAUUUGAGGCCUUAAAAUUGAGUUUUGGACCCUUAAUCUUUGGAUUUAGGAGAGAGGUUAGAGAGAGAGUAGAGAGAGAAGGAAAAAGCUUCAAAUGAUAGGUUAAACACGUUUAUAUAGUUCCUAAAACUUGGACACGGUGGAAUUCUACCCGAUACCGGCCUUAAACGAAGCUUUAGGUCGCACCCGAUUGAGUUUCCGUCACCCGACGAGGAUAUUUCUAAAACUUAUGAAAUAAAUGUUUUGGGCUAAAUUCAUGAGUUCCUAAAUGAUUUGGACCCUCAUUGAAUGAUAAUAAACAUAUAAUUUUAGUUAACUAAGCCCAAAAACGAUAUCGGGACAUUUCGAUCUCCGACGAGUUAUACGGGUAGAAUGGGUUUUCGGCGAUGAACAACUUCGGGUUGUUACAUUAUCCCCCCGUUAGAGAGAAUUUCGUCCCGAAAUUCAAAGAAUAAGAUACAGGUCAUGGAUUGGAAUGAAACACGAAUAGAUUUGUUGUCUCGGAUCUUCACUUUCUCAAGUGGAAUUAGGUCUCUACUGGGCAUUCCAGCGAAUUCUCAUUAUCGGGAUAUGUCUUGGUUUUGUACUUUGACUCUCUCUCAAUCUACGAUAUCAAUCUGUUUUCUCAUUGAAGUUCCAACCCUGAACGAAUUCAGUUUCUUCAAGGAAUCACUAGGGUUUCGUUGGGCAGAUACUUCUAAGGAUUCGAGACAUGAUGGUCUAGAUAGAUGUUACUAAGCUCUAAGGGCAUCCGAAAUCUGAAGGUUGCAGAAUUGAUCUCUACGAAGAUCUCGAAAUGUCUGAUGUGAGACUAAACUAGACGCUCGAAAGAAACUCUCAGGAAUCCUUCGGGGCUAACUUCCCGUUCCUCAAUAAUCACAGAAACGAGGGAUGCGUGGUAAUUCACAUGGGGAAAACUUUUGAUUUCUAAGACAUGGAAUGAUACGAAAGUUUGAUGCCGAAGAUCACGAGAACAGGGUCGAGGGAAGAUCUAGACGGGCGACCCUUUCGAAAGUAAAGAUAACAACAUGAAUGAGACUCGGUCAUUUCUUGUUAAACAUAGCACCAAAAUAUUUUUAUGGAAAGUUUCCCCCUUUUUAAAUCGAGUGGAACGGAAUAGUCCUCCGGACUGAGGAUUCAAUCUAUAGGUACGAAGUUAGUGUUCUCUAUCUCACUAGUUAGUCGUCUCGACGGUACACAUUUCGAUUACAAGAGAAGGAUUGAGUUUAGAAAUUGCUCGAAUAGAUAGAUAACAGGUUUCCCUUUUUGUACCAAAUUCGAAAAGAGUUGCAAGUAUAAGAAUUAUCAAAGAGAAAUAUACCUGCAGCAGCAGAGGGAUUUGUGGUUGUAGCUAUCUUGGGACAAUUCCUUUUGAAGUGCCCAGCUUCACCACAAUUGUAGCAGGCUGGACUGAUUCCCGCUCCAGAUGAUUGGUUUGUUGGCUUGGCUGAUUUUCUGCAGGUUCGCGCAAGAUGGCCCUUAUUGCCACAGUUGUCGCAAAUCCUUUCGCGACANGGUAGUUACACUUACCACACCAAGGAAGGGUACCAGUGUAUCCACUGGCGGGAGUUUGGGCUGUGGAACCUACAGCUGAAACAGCAACAGGGGCAGUAGCAGCAUGGACUGCUACCGUUUGCUGUUUCUUAGAAGACCCUUGCGUACUCUGGGCCUUACGCUUGUUCCAGGAUUUCCUUUUACUUCCGCCUCCACUAGUGACUGGCUCGGGGGUAGUAGCUUCUUCAUCAGAGUUGUCUUCGUGAUCUAUCAGGAUUUUCGCAAGACAUUUGGCACUGUCAUAAGUGUCUGGCUUCGCAGCCAAGACAUUCCCUUUUGUUGGCUGGGUCAACCCCCAGAUGAACCUCUCUAUCUUUUUACUUUCCGGGGUAACCAUUCCCGGACAAAGUAACGCCAGAUCAUCAAAUCUUGAGGUAUAAGCAGCUAUGUCAGAACCCUUCAUCUUAAGGUUCCAUAGUUCAUGUUCUAGUUUCUGAAGUUCGCCCCGAGGGCAAUAUUCUGCGAGAAGAAGCUCCUUCAUAGCUUCCCAACCCAUAGCAUUGGCUACAGGUAAAGUUAAGGAUUUGACUCGGCCAUUCCACCAAGUCAGGGCUUUGUCUAGGAAGGUACAGGCGGCAAACUUGACUCUAUCAGACUCCGAACAGCCACAUAUUUCAAAGAUUGAUUCGAUUCUCUCGAACCAUCGGGUUAAGGCAAUGACACCCCCUGUGCCAUCGAAGAAUGUCGGUUUUGCGUUCAUGAAGUCCUUAUAGGAACCCCCUUUUUGGUGUCCCUGGCUAUCUUCUGGGUUUUGGUGUUGGGGAUCACCUCCUGAAUUUCUAGAGUUCAUUUGCGACAUGGCUGCUACCAUUGCAGCAGUCAGAACUGUCUGAAGCGAUGCAAGAUCAAGUUGAAAAGGAGGAUUGUUGUUGUUCGUUGAGCUGGGUCUCUUUCUUGGAGGCAUCUUGAUCUAAAAAGAUCAGGAAAGAGAGGAUCAUAAGUCCUCUGAAUUGAAUCAAGAGAUAUGGGACAGGAGAUAUCUCAUCAAGGCAAAUAUAGCAUCAUACUAAGCGAUAAAGCAGAGAGGAGUUAUCAAGAUAGAACAUUUUAUCGCUAGAGAAAUAAUCAAGGAAUAACGCGUAUACAAGAAUUUCUACAAAGGAUCGGCUCGAGAAAUACUCCCAUAGUAUUUCAUGGUUCGCUGCAGCGACGAUUUGUUGUUUGGGAUAUUGGGUAAGUUUUAGGUAUGCCGCAUGCCACAGUCACUCCCAAGCACAUGUUGGCCGUGUCUCGAAUGAAUAUAGUUGGCCAGGCUAUAUUGACCCUAGACACGACUACAUAACUGCCCAGGUUUAACCGCAGUGUACAACACCCAUUUACUUAUGUUUUGUUCUACUUAUAGUUACGGAUUUCGACGGCUCGGCAUACUUAAAUACUUUUGAAAAUACUUAUAUCUUGUAGGAUACUUUUAGUUCAGAGCACUUAGGCCCCUUAAUGUUUAUAGUUUUAUACCAUGUAAGGUUUGGUAUACUCUGUUCACUAUAAACAAGGGCUCUGAUACCAAUCUGUCACACCCCGAAAACCAAAGGCGGAAACGUUCCCGGGGUUGACUCCACGUUGAGUAUCAAAUCCAAUGUACAUAGUAAUCACAGUAAACAACCAUUACAUUACAUAUAUAUGAAAGUUUACAUUUGGUUCAAAAGUAAAUUGUACAAAAGUUAUACAUAUAUCAUAUGAACAAAAGAGACGAGUCUUCGGAGCACUCCAUCUUCACCAAAAGAUAUCGCCGGGUACCUGUCUAACUUGGACCUGAGAAUACAAGCAGUUUGAAAAUCAGCAUAAAGCUGGUGAGUUCAUAAGCGGUUUUGUUUUGUGAAAAUGUAUCGGUUUCCUUUAGUUUUCUGAAAAGAUUUGAUAUCCAAGAAAAUCCCAUAUUUUCUUAUGUAAAGUAGUUAAGUUAUCUUUCGUUACAGUUCUGUUACAAGAUAUAAGUUAACCCCAGGAAAAUCCCAUAUUUUCCUAAAUGCAAGAUUGAUUGAAUAACACAUAGUAUAGUUUAAUAUACAAAACUAUAAUUUAGACGAACUGUAGAUAGAAAGUAUUUUGAAAACCUUGGGACUAACAUCCCGAACCAGUUAUAAGAUAAUUCGAUAAAGACCAUGGGAUCACUAUCCCGAAAAUAGAUAUAAGAUAGCUUGAUAAACCAUGGGAUCACUAUCCCGAAACUAGAUAUAUGAUAGAUUGAUAAAAUCAUGGGAUUAUCAUCCCGUAUAAGAUUUAGUUUCAAAACCAUGGGAUUACCAUCCCGAACGAAAUAUAGACACAAGAUCAUGGGAUUAUCAUCCCGAACGAGAUAUAGACAUAAAACCAUGGGAUUACCAUCCCGAACGAGAUAUAGAUUACAAAACCAUGGGAUUACCAUCCCGAACAAGAUAUAGAUUCUAAACAAAUCCUAGCUGUGAAUAAGUUUAUAUUAAUACGUAUUGUGAGUCGGGUAACCAUACUGAUACGACAACGAGACCUCCUUGACGUUAGUCAGACGUCGAAUGAUAUACAGAAUUUGUCACCCCAGGCGUGCCCGCCUAACUGUAGCUAGCAGUUAAGGUGUGGGAUUGUCAGUCCCGAAUAGAUCUAUUCACAAAUUCCUCGCUCUCCCUCCAGGAGACUCUGGUUACACUUCCGGAGAGGAUUUACUUGAUCAUCCAUAAAGGGUAGUGACUAUCUCACAAGCUAGUAUUAAACUAUUCACAGGAUUCUCAUACGAUAACAGACAUACAAGGAUUUUAAACAUGAUACAGUGAAAAUGGUUACAUACUAUGAAAUUAUCUGGCAAAACAUUCAAUGAUACGGAGAUAAACUGAAUCAGACAUAGUUUAUCUAAUAACUUAAUACAGAUAUCGGUACAUGAUAUAAAGAGAAACAUAGAACCCCAAAUUAUUCCCAUAAUAAUUUGAUUAGUUUGGUUAUUUUCUUAACUAAAAUCCAUUUAGUUGUAAUUGAUAAAUCAUUCCUUAUGCUCAACAUAAUACAUAAGGAGUAAAAGAGUUUAUAAGUUUGCCAGAUAUUAUUUGAAACACAUAAAUGUUAUGAUUUGAAAACAGUUUUGGUUUGCUUGUAUUCCCCCCCUGAAAACAGUUAAAAACAGUGAAAAAGGCGUAGGGGUAUGAACUCACCGGACGAGAAAUGUGACGAUUUUGAUGUUAAGAGUUGAUCCGGGGUUUGUAAAUACACGAGGUUCCUAAUUAUAAUUUAAAGAUACACAUUUGUAUCUAAUUAGGACUUAGUUUAUUCAUAUGAUAGGGACACUUGCUUUAAGUCGCAAAAACAUUCCGAUACGAGUGUUUGGAGGGACUCUGGUGGCGUUUAAGGACGUGAAAUGACACUAGGGACUUGGGACUUGAGUUUACUCCCCAUGAGUAAACUAAUAGAAGAGUUUUGGUCUAAAACACCCAUUCCCCAUGAGUUUACGGCCGUAAACUCAUGGUGGGUGUGGUUUAAGGUGCUAAAUGACUUCAUACACUUAGGGAAUAAUUUCUAGACUUGGUUUAAGGACUUGAAAGGAUUUUAAAACAUAAAAUAGACCCACUUAUGGGAGUUUACGGCCUAGCAUGGCUCCAUGGCCGUAAACUCCUAUUUUUCCAAGAAAAUGAUGUUAAAUGGAGCUAGAACAAAUCACAUGUGAUUAAUAGAAUUAUUUCAAGGCCUAUUAUGAGUUUGCAAGGGACAUUUGAGGAGUUUAUGGAGUUUACGGCCCAUGAGACCCCCUCAUGGCCGUAAACUCAUCUAUAGGGUGCUACAAGAUGUUUCAAGGUCUAAAACUUGCAUGGAAGGACUUCUAAAAUUCAUCUAAGGGCCUUAGGGGUGUUUAGUUUGCAUUCUAACACCAAAAAUCAAGGAGUUUACGGCCUAUGAACAAGUCUUGGCCGUAAACUCAUAGAAAUCCCUCAAUUAAUGUGUUUAAGGCCCUCAAACUAUUUUUGGUUGGUCCUUUGAUUUAUUCCAAGGCUUUUGGUGGUGUUGGAUGGCUUUCUAACACCUUAGAAUUGAAUUUAUGCCAAGUUUUGAGGAGUUUACGGCCCAAGCACAUGCCUUGGCCGUAAACUCACAUAAGUCCCCCAAAAAUCAUGUUUCAAGUGUCCAAAUGCUAAAACCAAGGUUCUAUAAUUCAUAUCUAAGCCAUACUAGUGAUUUGGAAGGGUUUAAGGGCAUGAAAAACCCCAUUUACAUGAGUUUACGGCCCAAGCUUAUGCCUUGGCCGUAAACUCCUUCAAAUGACUCAAAAUC